Long non-coding RNA from Ruditapes philippinarum (Manila clam), 714 nucleotides. RefSeq lists it as uncharacterized. Lineage: Eukaryota; Metazoa; Mollusca; Bivalvia; Venerida; Veneridae. The record is from RefSeq and is a predicted model, not a curated record. The transcript has 2 exons.
UUAAAUGAAGGCUUUAAUAUUUUCAAAUUAGUAGUUCAUUAGUAGUUUUCAAUCUGUAGUUACUGUUAAAUGUUUUGUCUUAUGUAUUGCAAUAAUGAAUUUAAUUAUUUUCUUGUUGAUUUCUAUUUUUUCUUCAACAGUAUUUAAUGCCAAGAUUUCAAGAAAACUUCGAAAUUUUGUAUAGAAGAAACUGUGACUUACAUACAUACAUGUAUCUACUCUACAUAAGAAUUAAAUGGAUCACUUUUGCUGUUUAUAAGGUUUGUUUCUCUUUUGCGAUAGACUAUUGCUAAAUUUUAUUAAUCUGUUGUACCGUAACUUAAGGAUAAUGUACUCUCUUAAAUGUUCAAUUUGUUCGCAUUAAAAUAAUUCAUUACAUUCAACAGAUUGCUUAAUACAAAUUAAUUAUUGGGCAAUCGUUUCAUGAUAUAUUUUGAUCUACAAUUCUGAAAUUUUAACUUUUAAGUUUUCUUUAGUUAAUAUUAAAUAAGAGAGAAAAUUAUUGAGAAAGAUUUGAACUUUUGUACACUCAAUAUAUUUACCUGCUCCUAAGAUAUUAACAUAAAACAAAGUAAAAUGUCAGGUUUGGGGCUAGAAUCUGUGAAAUAGAUUACACUUAUAAAUAUAAAUAUUAUAUCACUUUUAUCACAUUCAUUAUAUGAUAAUAUAUAUUUGUUUCACAAUGAUGAUACGUAAAUAAACUAUCAAAUAGUA